AACAAAAACAUUUGGUGGAUCCCUAGGCACUCAGAGAUGAUGAAGGGCGUGGGCCACUGCGAAAAGCUCCGACGAGUUGAGCACAAACAUUGACUCGGAGAUUCCCGAAUAGGGCAACCUCAUAGUACCUUUUCUUAAAUUCAUAAUAGAAAAAGGAAGCAACCUAGCGAACUGAAACAUCUUAGUAGCUAGAGGAAUAGAAAGCAAAAGCGAUUUCCAAAGUAGUGGUGAGCGAAAUGGAAACAGCCUAAACCAAUAAUUUUUUAUUGGGGUCGUGGGAAAAACUGAAAAAAGGACAAAAUAAGGAUCUAGUGAAACAAUUGAAUGUUGUACCGUAGACGGUGAAAGUCCAGUAACUUAACUUAAAAAUCCUUUGGUUUUAUCCCGAGUAAUAUGGGACACGCG
Molecule: ribosomal RNA, 405 nt
Filed under: Chloropicon mariensis
Lineage: Eukaryota; Viridiplantae; Chlorophyta; Chloropicophyceae; Chloropicales; Chloropicaceae
Description: partial Bacterial large subunit ribosomal RNA
Rfam family: Bacterial large subunit ribosomal RNA
Source: RNAcentral